GACGAACGCUGGCGGCGUGCCUAAUACAUGCAAGUCGAGCGAAGUUUUUCCGGUGCUUGCACCGGAAAAACUUAGCGGCGAACGGGUGAGUAACACGUAAAGAACCUGCCUCAUAGACAGGGACAACUAUUGGAAACGAUAGCUAAUACCGGAUAAUAGCAUUAACUGCAUGGUUGAUGUUUAAAAGUUGGUUUUGCUAACACUAUGAGAUGGCUUUGCGGUGCAUUAGCUAGUUGGUGGGGUAAAGGCCUACCAAGGCGACGAUGCAUAGCCGACCUGAGAGGGUGAUCGGCCACACUGGGACUGAGACACGGCCCAGACUCCUACGGGAGGCAGCAGUAGGGAAUCUUCCGCAAUGGGCGAAAGCCUGACGGAGCAACGCCGCGUGAGUGAAGAAGGAUUUCGGUUCGUAAAGCUCUGUUGUUAGGGAAGAAUGAUUGUGUAGUAACUAUACACAGUAGAGACGGUACCUAACCAGAAAGCCACGGCUAACUACGUG
This 499-nucleotide ribosomal RNA is filed under the name uncultured bacterium. RNAcentral describes it as "partial 16S ribosomal RNA". It matches the Rfam family "Bacterial small subunit ribosomal RNA", at positions 28 to 507 of the family's 1533-position model. The record is from RNAcentral.